Molecule: ribosomal RNA, 497 nt
Filed under: uncultured bacterium
Lineage: Bacteria
Description: partial 16S ribosomal RNA
Rfam family: Bacterial small subunit ribosomal RNA
Source: RNAcentral
GAUGAACGCUGGCGGCGUGCCUAAUACAUGCAAGUCGAGCGAACAGACGAGGAGCUUGCUCCUCUGACGUUAGCGGCGGACGGAUGAGUAACACGUGGAUAACCUACCUAUAAGACUGGGAUAACUUCGGGAAACCGGAGCUAAUACCGGAUAAUAUAUUGAACCGCAUGGUUAAAUAGUGAAAGACGGUUUUGCUGUCACUUAUAGAUGGAUCCGCGCCGCAUUAGCUAGUUGGUAAGGUAACGGCUUACCAAGGCAACGAUGCGUAGCCGACCUGAGAGAGUGAUCGGCCACACUGGAACUGAGACACGGUCCAGACUCCUACGGGAGGCAGCAGUAGGGAAUCUUCCGCAAUGGGCGAAAGCUUGACGGAGCAACGCCGCGUGAGUGAUGAAGGUCUUCGGAUCGUAAAACUCUGUUAUUAGGGAAGAACAAAUGUGUAAGUAACUAUGCACGUCUUGACGGUACCUAAUCAGAAAGACACGGCUAACUACGUG